RNAcentral lists this ribosomal RNA (252 nucleotides) under uncultured bacterium. RNAcentral's name for it is "partial 16S ribosomal RNA". It matches the Rfam family "Bacterial small subunit ribosomal RNA", at positions 524 to 776 of the family's 1533-position model. The record is from RNAcentral.
UACGUAGGGGGCAAGCGUUGUCCGGAAUUAUUGGGCGUAAAGCGCGCGCAGGCGGCUAUUUAAGUCUUAUGUAUAAACCCAAGGCUCAACCUUGGAUCGCAUGGGAAACUGGGUGGCUUGAGUGUAGGAGAGGAAAGUGGAAUUCCACGUGUAGCGGUGAAAUGCGUAGAUAUGUGGAGGAACACCAGUGGCGAAGGCGACUUUCUGGCCUAUAACUGACGCUGAGGCGCGAAAGCGUGGGGAGCAAACAGG